This is a small nuclear RNA of Equus asinus (donkey), 78 nucleotides long. The record is from Ensembl. NCBI's taxonomy places the organism in Eukaryota, Metazoa, Chordata, Mammalia, Perissodactyla, Equidae.
GCACUCACUGCACCAGCACAUAUACUAAAAUUGGAAGGAUACAGAGAAUAUUAGCAUGGCUUCUGUGCAAGGAUGACA